This 558-nucleotide ribosomal RNA is filed under the name Aureobasidium proteae. Its description in RNAcentral is "eukaryotic LSU rRNA". It matches the Rfam family "Eukaryotic large subunit ribosomal RNA", at positions 88 to 662 of the family's 3401-position model. The record is from RNAcentral. Lineage: Eukaryota; Fungi; Ascomycota; Dothideomycetes; Dothideales; Saccotheciaceae.
GGCGAGUGAGCGGCAACAGCUCAAAUUUGAAAGCUAGCCUUCGGGUUCGCAUUGUAAUUUGUAGAGGAUGAUUUGGGGAAGCCGCCUGUCUAAGUUCCUUGGAACAGGACGUCAUAGAGGGUGAGAAUCCCGUAUGUGACAGGAAAUGGCACCCUAUGUAAAUCUCCUUCGACGAGUCGAGUUGUUUGGGAAUGCAGCUCUAAAUGGGAGGUAAAUUUCUUCUAAAGCUAAAUAUUGGCGAGAGACCGAUAGCGCACAAGUAGAGUGAUCGAAAGAUGAAAAGCACUUUGGAAAGAGAGUUAAAAAGCACGUGAAAUUGUUGAAAGGGAAGCGCUUGCAAUCAGACUUGUUUAAACUGUUCGGCCGGUCUUCUGACCGGUUUACUCAGUUUGGACAGGCCAGCAUCAGUUUCGGCGGCCGGAUAAAGGCUCUGGGAAUGUGGCCUCCACUUCGGUGGAGGUGUUAUAGCCCAGGGUGUAAUACGGCCAGCCGGGACUGAGGUCCGCGCUUCGGCUAGGAUGCUGGCGUAAUGGUUGUAAGCGACCCGUCUUGAAACAC